This 678-nucleotide ribosomal RNA is filed under the name Coolia palmyrensis. RNAcentral's name for it is "eukaryotic LSU rRNA". It matches the Rfam family "Eukaryotic large subunit ribosomal RNA", at positions 31 to 660 of the family's 3401-position model. The record is from RNAcentral. Lineage: Eukaryota; Dinophyceae; Peridiniales; Ostreopsidaceae.
AAUUUAAGCAUAUAAGUAAGUGGUGGAAAGGAAACUAAACAGGAUUCUUUAAGUAAUGGCGAAUGAAUAAAGAAGUUUUCAUUUUGAAAAUUGUGGUCUGUGAUCAUGAAUUGUAAUUUCAAAAUGCAUUGCUAACAAAAAUGCAAAUGGUGGUUUAUUGGAAAGAACAUGACAAAGGGUGAAAAUCCCAUGUGUCAUUUGUAUUUUUUGUGUACGGUGUGCAUUUAUUGAAUCACAUUCUUUGACAAUGGAAUGUAAAUUGGGUGGUAAAUUUCAUCUAAAGUUGAAUAUGUUGUUGAAACUUAUAGAAAACAAUUACCAUGAGGGAAAUAUGAAAAGGAUUUUGAAAAGAAAAUUAAAAGAGUUUGCAAUUGCUAAAUUGAUAAGCAAACAAAACAUAUCUGUGCGCAAGAUUGUUGUAAUCAUUUGUUGUCAAACACAUGUGUUACAAUGGUUUUUGUGUAUUUUGCCAAUAUCCAAAUUUGGAAUGAUCACCCUUGGGUAUGAUUGGAAUUUGGUUUGCUAGCCAAGGAAUGUAUCUUGAAAAAAUCAUCCUCAGUUUGAUAUUUUGUUUUAUGACACAUGCAUUGCUCGCUUGAACAGCACCGUUGGAGCAAAUGCGCAAUGCUUUGUUUAAUUCACAUGGGCAUUAAUGUUUUGCUUGACCCGUCUUGAAAC